CGGGCGAACGGGUGAGUAACACGUAGGUGAUCUGCCCAUCAGACGGGGACAACGAUUGGAACGAUCGCUAAUACCGGAUAGGACGAAAGUUUAAAGAUGCUCCUGGCAUCACUGAUGGAUGAGCCUGCGGCGCAUUAGCUAGUUGGUGGGGUAAAGGCCUGCCAAGGCGACGAUGCGUAGCCGACCUGAGAGGGUGAACGGCCACACUGGGACUGAGACACGGCCCAGACUCCUACGGGAGGCAGCAG
RNAcentral lists this ribosomal RNA (248 nucleotides) under uncultured bacterium. RNAcentral's name for it is "partial 16S ribosomal RNA". It matches the Rfam family "Bacterial small subunit ribosomal RNA", at positions 95 to 354 of the family's 1533-position model. The record is from RNAcentral.